This 733-nucleotide long non-coding RNA is filed under the name Zonotrichia albicollis (white-throated sparrow). RNAcentral's name for it is "lncRNA (ENSZALG00000011143.1)". Lineage: Eukaryota; Metazoa; Chordata; Aves; Passeriformes; Passerellidae. The record is from RNAcentral.
AUGCCUUACCUGGGAAAUCCACAUUCUUCUGGAGUGAAAUUACAAGUGGAAAAACUGUGGACAUGUGUCCCAGGUUUAAGGCAAUGCACCAAUUUCUUCCUCCUUAUGCCAUACAGAGCUGGGACUGUGAGACUACGCCAACCUUUCCCUUGUGUAAUGUCAAUGUCGGCUAUCACUUUGGCAGAAUCACCCAGCUCAGUGAAGACAGAAAACCCCUCCUUUCCUCCUGUUUUUCAUCUGCUGGUGGCAUUCCAAGUGACCUUCCCUCAUAAAUAUUGCUUCAUGGUCACCAUUGUCAUUCAUUUGACAAAAAGAACCCCUAUCUGCUAGCAGUGGUGCAUCCAGCUUCUGCAAGGAGCUAGAAAAGCAGGUAGCUAGCUUUUAUUUUUCUGAAAUGUGCCAUUUUAUUCUUGGAUGAUGUCUGACUGUGGCCUCAGAAUUCAAAUUUGAUGCUAUUGCACUGUAGUUUGAGCAACAACUCACAAGGGAAGGUAACACAAACUACUGUAUUCCAAGGCUUAUUUUCACCCAUUUUAACUUCCAAGGGGAGGAAAUGCAUGUUCAAUUUGUUAUUUUUCAUUCUUAAUCUUAGAUCAACAGUGGGUUACUUUGAAAAAGUUGAAAAAAUAGGAGGAAUCAAUUCUGAGUGACAAUGUUGUGAAAAAUUUACAUAUUUCAGUUUUACGGAAGUGUUGUGACCUUUUUUUGCUCUCCUGUAUCUCAGAAGUAUGUG